Long non-coding RNA from Haplochromis burtoni (Burton's mouthbrooder), 823 nucleotides. RefSeq lists it as uncharacterized. The transcript has 2 exons. The record is from RefSeq and is a predicted model, not a curated record. Lineage: Eukaryota; Metazoa; Chordata; Actinopteri; Cichliformes; Cichlidae.
UCGUAGCUAAGUAAAAGUAAAUAACAUUUGUUGCAGAAAGAUACAUAAAGGCAGGUGUUUUGGCGUGGUUGAUGACGUCACUGGGAGGUAUAAAAAAAAGCAAAGGCUUGGUCUCCUGCUCCAUUCACGUUUUCUCUACCAAGAAGAACAGAAUCCCCUCCAUCAUGAAGAAACUGUGCGUCGCAGUCGUCGGAGUUUUGCUGCUGGCUUUCCAUCUCACAUCACAGGUGGCCCUGGCGAAUAACGCCACGAAUCCGGACAACACAAACAUCACCACCCCGAGCUCCACGGGGGCUUGUUGUGGGGCUACCGCCGCCUUCAUGGUGCUGCUCCCCCCGCUGGCUCUGACCGCUCUUCUCCUCCACCGGUCCUGAUUGAGUGGACUGACCGCGCUGGACACAAAAGCCAGCACAGGUUACACUGUGGAUCCAGUGCUGGCUUAGUCUAAAUACACUAAUCUCUCAAUCCACCCACCCACCCCCUCAAAAACAGCCAAAAACGCGUUUUGGAAUUACAUUUCAAGUGCUGGGUGGGAAACUUGUCUUAAAAGGCGACGCUCACUUUCAAGCAUUCUGCUCCUUCUAUUGUCUGUACUGGCUCUGCAAGGACUCUGAAAACUACUUUGGCACCACACCGGCCCUUUUACUCCUGCGUGCAGUGGGAGAACACCUCAGACUCGUGUAGUGACCGUCUUUGAUUCUGGUUUCAUUCGCCUGAACGUGAUUUGUAAAUGAGCUAAAUUGUGACCACUGUACUUUCAGGGUGUGACUUGAACUGUUUAUUUUUAUGUAGAUUAAAUAAAGCUUUAAAAUGUGAGACCACA